RNAcentral lists this ribosomal RNA (253 nucleotides) under uncultured bacterium. RNAcentral's name for it is "partial 16S ribosomal RNA". It matches the Rfam family "Bacterial small subunit ribosomal RNA", at positions 524 to 776 of the family's 1533-position model. The record is from RNAcentral.
UACGGGGGGGGCAAGCGUUGUUCGGAAUUACUGGGCGUAAAGGGCUCGUAGGCGGCCAACUAAGUCCGACGUGAAAUCCCAAGGCUUAACCUUGGAACUGCGUCGGAUACUGGAUGGCUUGAAUUCGGGAGAGGGAUGCAGAAUUCCAGGUGUAGCGGUGAAAUGCGUAGAUAUCUGGAGGAACACCGGUGGCGAAGGCGACGUCCUGGACCGGCAUUGACGCUGAGGCGCGAAAGCCAGGGGAGCAAACGGG